GGUGGGAUGGUAGGCCAGGAGACUAGCAAGGGAUGGAGCCAGAGCCAUUGACAGGCAGGGCCACCCUGACUGGUGGUAAGUAGAAUGGCCGAGUAGUAGCCUUUGCUGGCUUAUGUAGACUGUUCUACAAGGAAGCUGCUGCUCCCAGUGGUGGUGGUAGGUGGCAUUUCUCAGGGGCAGGGGAAUGGACCAGAUGAUUGUCUGGUCCUAAGAACAAACAGCACUAUCUUUCAUGAUCCUUCUAACUAAGCACCACACACGAAGCAUCUCCUAUUUUCCAUUGAUUUCCAGUUUGUUAAGCAGUGAGAUGGCCAGGUGCCAGGGACCACUAAUGCAGUUCUAUUCAAGUGCCAAAAAGAAGAAGGUGAUGAGACGGUGACCUUUCCAUCCAGAUCAUAGGGAAAAAGCUGCACUAAUAGCACUUGGCAGUCAAACGGCUGCUUAAUCUAGCAUGAGUUUUUGACAGCUCCUUGGCAAAGCCUCUUCUUUCUCUUCUGCCUUAUAGAGGCCAUGUUCUCACAACAGGCAGAUGGACUGGUAAACCUGGAUGUGGACUGGACCACUUCAGGCUGCAGGAGAUGGGAAUUGACAUGAUAGAAUGCUUGGAUUCUAACAAUAACAACAACAUAAUAUCACAAUCAUAAUCCCUGAACAAAGAAAAAUAAAUGUCAAGAAGAAGAGUUCUGGCUUAGCCAGAACGCAAGCUACUUUUUAUGAGAAAAGACCAUUCCAUGCUAUCUUUUUAUGAGAGAAGACCAUACCACAGCAGUAGAACAUCUCUGCCUUGCAUGUGGAAAGUCCCAGGUUCAAACCUUGAUGUUUCCAAGUAGGGCAGAGACUCUUGCCUGGAACCCUAUACAGCUGUUGCUGAUCAGUGCAUGCAAUAGUGAGCCAGACUCUGACUCACUAUAAUGCAGCUUCCUAUGUUCCUAUGUUUAGGAAUCAUUGAGUGGGGGAUUGCUGAAGUGGUGCAAUCAGGUCACCUCAGCUCCUGCUGGUGAGAACAAGGACAGACUCUGAUCUGCUUGAAACUGGGCUAAAUAAGACAGCCUUCCAAGUAUUCAAACCUAGAAAAAUGAAAGCUCUGACUGCUUUGCACAACAUCUAGGUGGGGAUUCCAUGAUUUUUUCUGCAAAAGUCAGGCAAAACAAUUCAAUUCACUCAGACUCACAGAGUGGGGAAGAACCACCCAGCUUCAACAAAAAGUCAUGUUGUCAACCACACAUUUUGUUUGCACAAUACAAAGUUGCUUCGCGGGCAUCAGAUGUGUAACCUGAAGCACACAAGGCCAAACUAGAUGGGAGAUCCGUUAUCAGAUCUAUGACACUUAUUUUUUUUAAAAAAAAUAAAAAAUAGACAUGGGAAUAGGGCCCAAAUUGGACUGGGGCUUUAGCUGCAGUGCUGGCUAAGAAGUUUAGCACCCAUAGCUGCUAUUUAAAUCACAAGGGGAAAUGUUCAGGUACUGUUAAAAGUACCAUAAUCUCUGCACAGUUCUUUGGGAUUGUUCAAAACCACAAUAAUAAAAGUUCAGCUAGAAUGCAUAUCAUUGAUCAGGAAGGCCAACAGAAUGCCAAUGUGGUUAACAAGCAGAGUUGAGGAAGCCAUUACGGUCAAGAAGGAUUCCUUCAGAAAUUGGAGGUCUUGUGGUGUAGUGGUUAAGAGCGGUAGUCUCGUAAUCUGGGGAACCGGGUUCGCGUCUCCGCUCCUCCACAUACAGCUGCUGGGUGACCUUGGGCCAGUCACACUUCUUUGAAGUCUCUCAGCCCCACUCACCUCACAGAGUGUUUGUUGUGCGGGAGGAAGGGAAAGGAGAAUGUUAGCCGCUUUGAGACUCCUUCGGGUAGUGAUAAAGCGGGAUAUCAAAUCCAAACUCUUCUUCUUCUUGUUGUUCAAAUGUGGAGAACAAAGAGAAACAUAGAAUUUCGCAAAAGACAUGGAAGCAGGCAAUAAGGGAUGCAAAAAAAGGAACACAUUUUUGCUAAAAACAUGAAGACUACCAGUGGCAAAGCCUGUUUUCUCCUUCUCUCAUAAUACAGUGGUAUCUCGGGUUAAGUACUUAAUUCGUUCUGGAGGUCCGUACUUAACCUGAAACUGCUCUUAACCUGAAGCACCACUUUAGCUAAUGGGGCUUCCUGCUGCCGCCGGAGCACAAUUUCUGUUCUCAUCCUGAAGCAAAGUUCUUAACCUGAAGCACUAUUUCUGGGUUAGUGGAGUCUGUUAUUAACCUGAAGCGUAUGUAACCUGAAGCAUAUGUAACCCAAGGUACCACUGUACUAGAAGCUGGGAUCAUUCAAUGGUGCUGAAUGCUGGAGAUUCAGAAUACACAAAAGGAAGUAUUUCUUCAUGUAAUACAUGGUGAAAUUAUGGAAUUCACUCAUACAAGAUGUUGUGAUAGCCACUAACUUGGAUGGCUUUAAAUAGGGUUGAGACAAAUUCAAGGAGGAUAAAGCUGUCUAUGGCUACUAGUCAUUAUGAUUAUGUACUCCCUCCUGUAUUAGAGGCAUUAUGUCUCUGAAUAGCAGUUUCUAGACAGCUCAAGUGGGGAGAGUUCUGUUGCUUCCCAUAGGGGUGGCAUCUGCUUGGCAACUGAACUGAACUGAUCAACUGCAGAAAGGUACAUAGUAGUUUCGGGUUGCCAAUCAAUGCAUCGUGAACUAGAUGAGUCAACCUUUCAUCCCUGAAACUUAUAAAACAAGCAUAAAGGAAUAUAGCUCUAGCUAUAGCAGUAGCAGAUGGGUUAAUAGCCAUGUUCUCAUUGCUCAUUGUGGGGUAAGUCUGGAUUUUAGAAGUUUCUUGGAAACUGUUUCAAUAACUUCCCCACCUCUAUGUACAUAAGAGCCAUAGCAGCCUUACUGGAUCCGACCAAAGGACAUUCUAGUCCAGCAUUCUAGUUUAUAACAAAGAUCAGGCAGAUGCCUCUAGGAAGCCUAAAAGCAGGAUGUGAAGGUUCAUCCCUCCUCCACUUUGUCUCUAGCAUCUGAAACUGAAGAGAUAGACUGCUUCUGAACAUGGGUGCUCCUUUUAGCUAUCAUGCACAAUAGCCAUUGAAAGUGUGUUUUCAUCAUAAUAUUCACCCAUGUUGAAAGGGAUGCUGAACUUGUUGGGUCUUUGGUGUGAUUCAGCAUAGCUCUUCAUAUGUUCUUAUGCUAUGUUCUUACCUCCCCUCCUUUCCCUUCUUCAAGUGCUGGUUUACAAAAGCAAGGCUUCAUGCCUUCAUGGAAACAGUGCUGACUUGGGCAUUUUUGUACCACCUACAGUGGUAAUGGCUUGUCAAAAUGAUACACCUCCUGAUCCAUCCCCUCUUUGAACUGCAGCUCAUUUUUAAAACAUUUGUUAAACAGAGAAAUGGAUACUGGAGGCCGGAAAAUAGCAAGCAAAUACACAGUUCAGGCCUUGCAAGAACAAUUUGUCCCGUCCCCCCAACCUACUGGUUGCAAAGAAAGAGGGGGUGGGAAAUACACAUGAAUCUGAUGUUUCCAUUGGUGUGUAUCGUGUAUGUACAGACAACAAGAAGACAGGUCCCUGCCCCAAGGAACACACAGUUGACAAUGCAACACAGAAGAAUCCAUAAAGGAAGGGAAGGGAAGGGAAGUGAGGCAGAAGAAAACAGGUAAGGAAUGUGCCAUUGUUUCAGUUGUGCUUGUUUCGGGCUGAGAUAUAGCAGGGCAGGCAAACUAGACACACUCUCUCUGUUUAAAGCUGGCAUUGCAUGGAGGUCACGUCCUCUGCCCCUUACUGACAAUGUAGAGAAGUGAGUGAAAUGAUUCAGGGAUGUAGGAAGAACAUUCUUUACAUGCUCAAAGUCACUCUUACCUCAAACCAACAUAAGCACACAAUUCUUCCAUUUCAUGCCUGAUGUUGACUAUUUGGGAUUGACUUGAACAUAUAAUUGUCAAUGAGGUUUAAGUUAUACACUAAUGGGUGGCAAUCAGCUAGCAAGAUUCUCUUCUGUGUGUACAACCUCCAACUUUCAGGCACACAUCUCAUUGUAAAACAAGAUCAGACUCCAAUCGUAGGCCAACAAUGCAAUCGGACGCAAGGUUUGCAUAGAGAUCUAAGUCCCACUGCAUUCACUGAAAUUUACUUUCUGGUAAGUGUAUUAAUAAUAGUGGCUCAAUAUUCUAUGCCACAUGUUUAGAUACAGGAUAUCUGAAAGCCAAAUCGGUUUGGGAGCAUGGGCCUGACAAGUCUGUCUCGGCGUAAUUAAAAACUGCAGUAGUUUACACUGUGACUUACCUUUAUUAUUAGACUUCUUCAUUCAAGGAUACCAUCUGAUGAGCAGGAAUAUAGUUUCUUCUAUGCCAGAAUAGCCCUCAAUUCCUGCAUAUGCAAGUUAUAGUACAAAGGGGAGCCUGCAAGCUUACUCUGAAGCAUCCGACAAUUGUAACCACUGUGGGAGGCAGAAUCCUGAGCUAGAUCAGCUAUUGGCAGUUUCUGUGUAAGAGACAAGAACACUGGUGUACAAUAUCCCGGCAGCUUUAUUGCUUUCCCCUUUUUACAUUCUGUAUAACCGAUGGUUGUGCCGUUAGAGAAGGACAAAUGUGAUAAAUAACCAUGGAAAACAGAUCUAGUGAGAUGGAUAUUCUACUGUAAACCAUAUGUCUCUGUCCGGUGCCACUGCAGAGUCAUUACUAAAAAUGGCAGGGUCUUAAACAGCAAGAUUUCCUACGCUCUACAACCAUCCAGCAUAACAAGAGCUGGGGGACCAGCCAAAGUCUGCGUUCAGGAGUGGGGAUGGAAAUGCCGUAUCUUAACUCCUGCACACCAGAUAGUUUGGAGGCGUGCAGUUCUUACUCACAAGAGGAAAAUCCUGAGCUCCCUUCCAACACUUUCUCUGCACCUGGAUGCCAGCAGGGCAGACAUAGCAGUGGAAGGAUCAAGUGAGUGGGGACCAAGCAUCCGGAUGAAUCUGGUGAGCAAUCUGUGAACCUUUAUGCUAUGUGAUUCUCAGAUAAUUCACAAAGCCAUUUAGUUAGUGUUGGCCUUUUGUUCUUGGCUCAUAUUGAAUUAUUUUGAAAGUGGGGUGUGUGAGAAGACAGAGCUUUCCCUCAUGCAGAAGUCGCUACUAAAGCAGGGUUGGCCAACGUGGUGCCCUCCAGCUGUUGCUGAGCUGCAGCUUCCAUCAUCCCUGACCAUUGACCAUAUUGCCAGGGGCUAGUGCAAUAGUUGUAGUCCAGCAACAUCUAGAGGGAAUAGAGUUGGCCACCCCCACUCUAAAAGGAAAAGUUGCCCCAAAUGUCUUAUAAAUGUCUUAUGACCCAUUGAAGGAAGCCUCCAGUUUAGAAUCGAGGCCUGGAGGGUGUGACUGGCAAACAUAUUGAACCGGCCUAUUUAUAGUUAGGUCCGUUCUAGACCUGUUUUUGUGAUCACAUACUAUAUGGCUACUUUAAUGCAUUUUAUGGCUACUAUUUGCACUGUGUGCAAAUCUGAAGCUUUGACAACAGACCCACAUCAUGACUGGACAAUGGCCAGUCCAGACAAUAAGCAGGGAUCCAUUUUGUAGCAUACAGUGGAUGCUUGAAAGUGGCUUUGUCAGACUGCUGGCAACAGGUAGGGGUCAGGCUAUAUUUGACACCUGUGGUAGUGAGAUGAACCUACAUAUCCUCAGUUAACACUCCCUGUCCAGUCUUCCCUAACAUGAUUCCCUCUAGAAAAGAUGUUUCUAGACUACAACUCCCAUAAUCCCUGAUCAUCAGUUUACUGGGGCUGUUGGAACCUGGAGACUGAUGGAAUCUGAAACUUGGCAGGUUAGGGAACGAGGCUGAAAUCACUCAGCCAUUUCCCUUCCAUUUUUCAUUAUGAAAUUGUUAUAAAAAUUCUGCAGUGACACCAGUGGUUAAAUCCUGGCACAGACUGAACUAUGCCUUGUGAAAGUUUCCUCCUUGCCUUAGCAUCCUCUUUGUGCAGACUCUGUACUUUGAUUGACCUCGACUACUCCCCAUCCCUACCACUGCUGGCUCCUGUAGCCACUGAUCUCUUAAGUCAUUGCCCUCACUUACAAAGUAAUUUCAACAAUCGUGUUGACAGAAUCCCUGAAUCCUUUUGUUCCAGUCCUGGUCUUCACCGCUGUGGAGAAUAUCACCAGUUCUUCAAUCCAUGGUGACUUAAAAGAAUUUAGAGGUGAACAUACAACGUCCCAAGCACUCUGCCAUCAUAUCCGUUUCUGUGCCCUGUUGCCAUGUGAACUCUUAAAAUCUUUGCAGGAGGGCAUCACACUUUUUUCCUCACAGAGCUUGCUACCAACUACAUCAGAGGACAGAAGCAAACCUCCUGCAUGAUUACAGGCAAAGCAUCAAAGAACAAGGAGCUUAUUUGUGAAAAAGGUUGAGGCGGAAUCCAGGUAGCUUGAUCAAACCAGAAGACGAAUGGAAGUGAAAAUAAAUACUCCUGUGAGG
RNAcentral lists this long non-coding RNA (6395 nucleotides) under Podarcis lilfordi (Lilford's wall lizard). Lineage: Eukaryota; Metazoa; Chordata; Lepidosauria; Squamata; Lacertidae. The record is from RNAcentral.